GUCGAACUCUUUGGUUGCUUUCUUCCUCAAGCAGCAAAGCAGAAACUGAUCUUGGUUACUUUCUGGUGAGGUUGAGGCAGAGAAUGGUAAUAAGGACUGGAAAGAAAGUGAGCCUCCAAGCCUCUUGAGUGAGAAGGUACUUGCCAAAAAAAACAAGGUUCAUGGCGUGAUCGCAUACGCCACAACAAUUGACACGGAUGGAUGGCGUGGAAAAGGUCAUUGAGGACCUGAUUUUGAAUCACUAACGAGCCGAUGGUUGGGGUCAGAAACUGUGGCCAAAGAAUCUGUGCAUGCUACAUUCAGUUUUCAUAUGAUUAUAUGAACUUUCAUAGUGGAGGCAUCACCGUGGAGAGGAGAUGCAUUGAAAUUAAAAGGAAGAAGCUUCUAUCUCCCACGAAACUGCACAGGCCCGGCUUCAGUUAUGCCAUACUGAUAGUGUUUCGCUCAAAAGCAGCAUACUAGCUAAUUUGUGUUCCUCAUUGCAUCAUCUGGUUGGCUUUUGCGGUGUGAGAUGAAAUUCCCAUAGCAGUGGUCUUGGUAGUCUUUAGAGUUAUACUUCCUGUAUUAUAUUUGUAAACCUACUACUUGGCUCUGCACCUCAUAGAAUUCUCGGACAGGUCCCUGAAAACCUGAUUUGUGUAUCCUGUAAUUCCAAUAUGCUAGCUAGGGAGUUACUAGUUUAAUUUA
Long non-coding RNA from Rosa chinensis, 687 nucleotides. RefSeq lists it as uncharacterized. The transcript is spliced from 3 exons. Lineage: Eukaryota; Viridiplantae; Streptophyta; Magnoliopsida; Rosales; Rosaceae. The record is from RefSeq and is a predicted model, not a curated record.